UACGGAGGAUGCAAGCGUUAUCCGGAAUGAUUGGGCGUAAAGCGUCCGCAGGUGGCAAUGUAAGUCUGCUGUUAAAGAGUGAGGCUCAACCUCAUAAAAGCAGUGGAAACUACAUGGCUAGAGUGCGUUCGGGGCAGAGGGAAUUCCUGGUGUAGCGGUGAAAUGCGUAGAGAUCAGGAAGAACACCGGUGGCGAAAGCGCUCUGCUAGGCCGCAACUGACACUGAGGGACGAAAGCUAGGGGAGCGAAUGGG
This 253-nucleotide ribosomal RNA is filed under the name uncultured bacterium. RNAcentral's name for it is "partial 16S ribosomal RNA". It matches the Rfam family "Bacterial small subunit ribosomal RNA", at positions 524 to 776 of the family's 1533-position model. The record is from RNAcentral.